GCACUGCUGAGGAGUCCCACAAUAGGACGAACCGGCCGUCCAGAGC
This 46-nucleotide non-coding RNA is filed under the name Schistosoma curassoni. The record is from RNAcentral. Lineage: Eukaryota; Metazoa; Platyhelminthes; Trematoda; Strigeidida; Schistosomatidae.